Long non-coding RNA from Zophobas morio, 228 nucleotides. RefSeq lists it as uncharacterized. The transcript has 3 exons. Lineage: Eukaryota; Metazoa; Arthropoda; Insecta; Coleoptera; Tenebrionidae. The record is from RefSeq and is a predicted model, not a curated record.
AAUGCUUUAAAAGCCAAAAAAUUUUGUAAUAAAAAUGUUAGAAAAAAUAUGAGAAACGGAAUUUAUUUUAAAAAGAUCGCUUUUGAUAAACAACGGGAAAUUAUAAAAGUACUCAAUGGGGAGUUUGAUUGUGCUCUCAAAAGAGAGGGGAAAAAGCUAGAAGAUACUUCUAGAAGGGCGCAAGAAGUGGAGCUUCAAAGAGUAAAUAUGGAAAAAACUAAGAGGAAU